CCUCAUAGAGAACUUAUGAAGAUUUGUCGAAUAAUUAUGUGAGCAAUAUGUUCAGUACAGUGCCCAGCAUACUGUAAAUGCCUAUUCAAUUAACAAAAUUUAUGUUUAAAACUAAAAAAAUUACAUUGAAAAUAUGUAAUAUAAACUAUUUGUAUUAUUAUUUAUUAGGAGAAAAAUGAUUAUUUCCUAUUAUAUGGAGAGGUAUGGAGAAAGUAAUUGACUUAUCCAGGGUUACAUAGCAAGUCAUUGACCCACGUGCUUGCUUCCAGCCCACCAAAGGACGGCAUCUAGUUUGUGAAGUUCUGACUACACAUUAGAAUCAAACACUGAAGGAUGUGAUCACAGAAGGAUUUGCUUGUGUUUUACCACCUCCUGCCUUAGCUCUGAUCAGGCUGCCACUCUCAAACAUUCUUCACCUCUGAGACUGGCCAAAGGGAAAUAGCCCUUGCUUGAAAAUGCCCUCCUGAGUAUGUCUGUGUAUAUCUUUGAGACCCUUACUAG
RNAcentral lists this long non-coding RNA (501 nucleotides) under Homo sapiens (human). RNAcentral's name for it is "non-protein coding lnc-DMAC1-7:1". The record is from RNAcentral. Lineage: Eukaryota; Metazoa; Chordata; Mammalia; Primates; Hominidae.